AGAGUUUGAUCCUGGCUCAGGACGAACGCUGGCGGCGUGCUUAACACAUGCAAGUCACGGGGGCCCGCAAGGGCAACCGGCGAACGGGUGCGUAACACGUGAGCAACCUACCUCGAUGUGGGGGAUAGCCGGCCCAACGGCCGGGUAAUACCGCAUACGAUCUUUGGGGGGAGUCCCCUGAAGAGGAAACCUCCGGGGCAUUGAGAAGGGCUCGCGGCCUAUCAGCUAGUUGGCGAGGUAACGGCUCACCAAGGCGACGACGGGUAGCUGGUCUGAGAGGAUGGCCAGCCACAUUGGGACUGAGAGACGGCCCAGACUCCUACGGGAGGCAGCAGUGGGGAAUCUUGCGCAAUGGCCGAAAGGCUGACGCAGCGACGCCGCGUGUGGGAUGAAGCAUUUCGGUGU
This 405-nucleotide ribosomal RNA is filed under the name uncultured bacterium. RNAcentral describes it as "bacterial SSU rRNA". It matches the Rfam family "Bacterial small subunit ribosomal RNA", at positions 8 to 424 of the family's 1533-position model. The record is from RNAcentral.